UCCAGGGAUUAGUGGCGAACGGGUGAGUAACACGUGAGUAACCUGCCCUUGACUCUGGGAUAAGCGCUAGAAAUGGCGUCUAAUACCGGAUACGAGCUUCAGCCGCAUGGCUAGGAGUUGGAAAGAAUUUUGGUCAAGGAUGGACUCGCGGCCUAUCAGCUAGUUGGUGAGGUAAUGGCUCACCAAGGCGACGACGGGUAGCCGGCCUGAGAGGGUGACCGGCCACACUGGGACUGAGACACGGCCCAGACUCCUACGGGAGGCAGCAGUGGGGAAUAUUGCACAAUGGGCGAAAGCCUGAUGCAGCAACGCCGCGUGAGGGAUGACGGCCUUCGGGUUGUAAACCUCUUUUAGUAGGGAAGAAGCGAAAGUGACGGUACCUGCAGAAAAAGCACCGGCUAACUACGUGCCAGCAGCCGCGGUAAUACGUAGGGUGCAAGCGUUGUCCGGAAUUAUUGGGCGUAAAGAGCUCGUAGGCGGUUUGUCGCGUCUGCUGUGAAAUCUGGGGGCUCAACCCCCAGCCUGCAGUGGGUACGGGCAGACUAGAGUGCGGUAGGGGAGAUUGGAAUUCCUGGUGUAGCGGUGGAAUGCGCAGAUAUCAGGAGGAACACCGAUGGCGAAGGCAGAUCUCUGGGCCGUAACUGACGCUGAGGAGCGAAAGCAUGGGGAGCGAACAGGAUUAGAUACCCUGGUAGUCCAUGCCGUAAACGUUGGGAACUAGAUGUGGGGGCCAUUCCACGGUCUCCGUGUCGCAGCUAACGCAUUAAGUUCCCCGCCUGG
Molecule: ribosomal RNA, 780 nt
Filed under: Actinomycetes bacterium
Lineage: Bacteria; Bacillati; Actinomycetota; Actinomycetes
Description: bacterial SSU rRNA
Rfam family: Bacterial small subunit ribosomal RNA
Source: RNAcentral